This 225-nucleotide ribosomal RNA is filed under the name uncultured eukaryote. RNAcentral's name for it is "partial small subunit ribosomal RNA". The record is from RNAcentral.
UUUAUGAAGCGGAGCAUCACCUCAAUCUGCCCGUCAGCUCCUGCCUGACAGGUGUCGACCAGCUCGAAUACGCUGCUGUAACCGAGGCUCCUCCAGUGUGCCCCCAUCACCUGGCCGAGUCCCCACGACGAGGACUCGUAUGCUGCAACCCGAUCUAUCUGGGCUGCGCGCUCGAUAAGAUCGUAGACGCCAGCGAAUGACCUGGGGUUCUUGAUACGUCCUGGU